GCAGAGCACUCCUAGGGAGGCAGCAGUGGGGAAUAUUGCACAAUGGGCGCAAGCCUGAUGCAGCCAUGCCGCGUGUAUGAAGAAGGCCUUCGGGUUGUAAAGUACUUUCAGCAGUGAGGAAGGUGGGUAUGUUAAUAGCAUACUCAUUUGACGUUAGCUGCAGAAGAAGCACCGGCUAACUCCGUGCCAGCAGCCGCGGUAAUACGGAGGGUGCGAGCGUUAAUCGGAAUUACUGGGCGUAAAGCGCAUGCAGGUGGUUUGUUAAGUCAGAUGUGAAAGCCCGGGGCUCAACCUCGGAAUUGCAUUUGAAACUGGCAAACUAGAGUACUGUAGAGGGGGUAGAAUUUCAGGUGUAGCGGUGAAAUGCGUAGAGAUCUGAAGGAAUACCGGUGGCGAAGGCGGCCCCCUGGACAGAUACUGACACUCAGAUGCGAAAGCGUGGGGAGCAAACAGGAUUAGAUACCCUGGUG
This 470-nucleotide ribosomal RNA is filed under the name uncultured bacterium. Its description in RNAcentral is "bacterial SSU rRNA". It matches the Rfam family "Bacterial small subunit ribosomal RNA", at positions 328 to 792 of the family's 1533-position model. The record is from RNAcentral.